RNAcentral lists this small RNA (319 nucleotides) under Arabidopsis thaliana (thale cress). Its description in RNAcentral is "ATSL296040". The record is from RNAcentral. Lineage: Eukaryota; Viridiplantae; Streptophyta; Magnoliopsida; Brassicales; Brassicaceae.
AAAAUUAAUAUGUUUACAAGUAAUAAUAAAAAUAUAAUUAGAUGAAAUCAUGGGUAUUUUAGGUAUUUGUAUUAUUACAAAUCAUUUGGAUGAAGAUUAGAGAUAAGCAAACGAACAACAUCUCAUUCAUAUGAUUUAGUCAAAUGAACCGACUGAAAAUGAAACAAACAAGAAUCAGAUAAAUCAUCCAGAUGGACAUGUUGAAUGGAUUAGUUGGAUAGAUCAGUCAAAUGGAGAAACGAACAGAUCCUAACUCAGCCGAAAUAAAAUGGUUAACGCAAAGCCUACCGUUGUCUUCGAGUCGAAAAAUAGUCUUUUU